Molecule: unclassified non-coding RNA, 626 nt
Filed under: Hevea brasiliensis (rubber tree)
Lineage: Eukaryota; Viridiplantae; Streptophyta; Magnoliopsida; Malpighiales; Euphorbiaceae
Source: RNAcentral
CCUAAAUUCUAUCUUUCCAUACUGUAUUAUUCUCCCUUGGUUAUAAAAAACUCAUCCUUGAGUUCCGAAGUGUUGAAGGAUCAAGAACCAAGUAAGGAGAAUACGCAGUACGAUCUUCGUUAAUGGUGGCAACAAGAAUGAAGAAGUUUGCGCUCUCUUUUGUGUUCCUGGAAACAUCUAAGCAAAUAAAAUCAAUUAAAACAACAAUUAAGACUUGAUUAACUUUUUGCUCUAAAAUAGACUCUUCAACAGGUGAAGGCUGAACAACCACAACUUUGGAUUCUUCAAUUUUCAUUAUUUGCUUUGUAGCUUGAUUGUCUUCAAUUUCAAGUUGCUCUUCUUCAAUUUCAUCUUCAACUUGCUCUUUUUGUUCUUAAAUUUCAAGUUGUUUUUCUUGCUCUUCUUACGUUUCUUUGCUUUUCAAGACUUCGUGCUUUUAUAUUAUCAAUACUUUUUCUUGUAUCCAAUUGCUCUCUCAAUUGAAACAUAUGCUCUUCUUUCCAUGCUUCAUACUCUUUAAGUUCUUUAUCUUUAACUUAUUGAUAAUUUUGUUGAACAUGGUAUUCAUUCUCACACUCUUCAAGUGCUUUCUCCUUAUAUUAUAAGAUUAUUUGUAUAUCUUGAUA